UCAUCCAGCUACACUGAGCUGAAUUUGUAUUACUACGUCACGGUGGCUAGAUAGUGAAUCACUACGUCACGGUGGGGAAAAAGUGCACCAGUUGGUGCAACAGUCCCGAGUCUCUUUGGCCGAGUGAACCACCUAAACGUCACGAAUUUCAUUGUUUUUUAGCCUACGUCACGGUGGGAAAUCGCUGCUGACUGUUGCACUUAAGCCCGCGAACACCAAAAUUUCAUUCUGACUGGUGCACUUGAGCCAGCGUUAUCAAUCUUCAAACCUUCAAAAUUAUAAUUACAUGACUAUGGCAUUUGGCUUAUUUAUAUCUUGAAGUCAUCAUGGCUGAAAGUAGGCCUAUAUACGAUCUUGGCUCAUUGAUUCAAGGCAGUAAAACCAGCGAGAUUUCUUCUGUAAGCAAGGAUUAUGAAGCAAAAGUCUCUGCUGCCAUUCCGACUAAAACAGACCUGUUUCGAAAAGGAAAGCUGGCAAGAGAUCUUAACGCAGAGUUGCUUAUCCCUAAGCAUAUGGGAGAUAAUUGGCGGCUUUAAAAUUGCGAUGAUGUGUUGCCUAAGAGCGUGAAAGAGAGUUGGGAGAGGUUGCAGAGAAAUGACAUUGCCUAGGUACUUUAUUUUCAAAAGCACAAACAAAGGCAUUUUAACUGAAGAAAUGCUCAAUGAUUUUCUCACAAUUUGAAAUUCAAAAUCGCCGUAAUUUUCGUACUGCGAAUUCAAUGAACGGCGGAUGGCGUCUCCAAGUGAUGAAAGUGUGAUCUUCUGAAGUGCUCGAUCGGUCUUUUAGCAACUAAACGAACAAACUGAACAUUUAACAGCAGGGCGUAAUCUAAUUCUUAAUUGAAUACCAUAAAGUUCAUAUGGAAAUAAGUACUUGAAGGCAAAUUAAUUGCAAA
Molecule: long non-coding RNA, 895 nt
Organism: Xenia sp. Carnegie-2017
Lineage: Eukaryota; Metazoa; Cnidaria; Anthozoa; Malacalcyonacea; Xeniidae
Exons: 4
Source: RefSeq, a predicted model, not a curated record